This 247-nucleotide long non-coding RNA is filed under the name Physcomitrium patens. RNAcentral describes it as "long non-coding RNA (PPAT_LNC005420)". Lineage: Eukaryota; Viridiplantae; Streptophyta; Bryopsida; Funariales; Funariaceae. The record is from RNAcentral.
UCAUAGGGUUUUGGGAAGACUGAGGCAAUCGUUGCUAAAGUCAGUGUUGUAAUGGUGAAUCGGGAUUUUUAAUGAAGUGGGUUUGAUUACUCUUGACUGUUUUGUGAAAUCGAGUUACGUCUGUGAUGAAGAGUUAAAAGGAUAUCUAUAGGAUUGAGUAUGCGGAGUGAAUGAAAUUUAUUGGGUUAAUCUAACAAGACAGUCAGUGGAUACAAGAUCGUGAGUAUAAAGCGGUAUCAAAGAUUAG